GCUUGUUCCUCCACUCCCACAGGUGAGCUUGUGGUACAGGAAGUGUGUGUGAGAGAGAAAGAGAUAGAGCGCGAGAAGAAGCGAGAGAGGAGUGUGUGUGUGAGAGAGAGAGAGAGAGAGAAAGAGAGAGCGAGAAGAAGCGAGAGAGGUGUGAGAGAGAGAGAGAGACAGAGAUAGGUGUGAGAGAGAAGAGUGUGUGAGAGGUGUGUGAGACAGACAGAGAGAGAGACAGACAGACAAAGAGAUCUGAGAGAGAGACAGACACAGAGAGAGACAGAGAGAUAUGCGAGAGAGAGACAGACAGACAGAGACAGAGAGACAGACAGACAAAGAGAUCUGAGAGAGAGACAGACACAGAGAGAGACAGAGAUAUGCGAGAGAGAGACAGACAGACAGAGACAGAGAGAGAAAGACAGGUGUGUGUGUGUGUGUGUGUGUGUGUUUCUCCUCAUGAUAUUAACCACUGAAGCAGAGACUGAAAGGCUCCCCCCCCCUAUAAUACACUCAGCAUGUUGCCUCCCAGGCCACCCCCUUUUAAUUUUAAAUACACACCCCCCCCCCCCCCAAUCCAGCUCUCCAGUCUCACCCCCCUACUUCAAACCCUUUCAUACCCCACAGCCCUCAAGUGCACGGUUUCAGAUUUGAAAGCGGCUGCGUUUUAAACAGAUUCAUUUUUGGGCAUCGUUCUGGAACAAGGACCUGACCAAAGGUAGUGCCCCCUGUUCAGACUGCGCUUGUAGAUCUCCUGAUCCGCCCCUCCUACUCUGCACUGGACUCGCCUGACCUCAGCACCACGUUACUGGAUCCUCAACUGAUGUGCUAUCCUUGCACUGCUAACAUGUCACUGUAGAUAUAACUUGCUGUAACCCUAACUUGUUGCAUCCUAGUUCAUAUUGUAUUCUAGUAGUGUUAUUAGUUGCACUGACUGUAAACUACACCUGUAUUUAAAUAUGAAGCUUGCAUUGUAACCCUGUGCUGCCCUGUAACACCUGCGUGAGUCGCCUGGGAUAAAGGCGUCUGCCAAGUAAAUAAUAAUAUUAAUUCCAGACGGUUGGCAUGGUGAUGCGUCAGAGGGGCCACGUUUUGAUUGAUCCCUGAAGCCAGCAUUACACUUCAGCCAAGGCUCGCAUUAUAACACAGCAAAGCUAGUCCUUGGUUGGUCUCCACCAUGCCUCUCUCACAAUAUUAGCAUGCAAAGAACAGUCGCUCUCUUGCAAGGAAAGUCAUCAUGACCUGCUUUUAUAAGCCAGCUCUCACAGAAUCAGUUCAUUCUAAAAGGGGAUGCAAAACAUUUCGCCAGAGCUGUAUUAUCCCAUUUUAUCUGAGUCCAAUAUGAAGUGAGCUACCCUCCUGUUAUAAAAAUCAUACAAGCCAUCUCUCACCCACUAAGGCUGUAGGCAGGCAGACGAAGCCACUGAAACAACUUGACCUGACAGGGAACAAAGCCAGUCAGAACAACAAUGAAUUGAUUCAUCCCAGAUACAGGGAGCCCUGGAGACCGGAAAUGACACUGAGAGUGAUUCAUGAAAUCUGCUUUGCUGUAAUCCUAACUUGCUGUAUCCUCUUAGUUCAUAUUGUAUUUUAGCAGGAGGCUGUGUGGUCCAGCGCUUAAAGGAUCUUGAUACCAGGAGGUUCAAAUCCUGGCUCAGCCACUGACUCCCUGUGUGUGACCCUGAGCAAGUCACUGAACCUCCUUGUGCUCCGUCCUUCGGAUGAGACGCAAAACAAACGAGGUCCUAUUGGAAGUGACUCUGCAGCAGCAGCAGCAGCAGCAGCAGUUGUUGAUGAUGCAUAGUUCACCCCCUAGUCUCUGUAAGUCGCUUUGGAUAAAAGCCUCUGCUAAUUGACUAAAUAAUAAUAAUAAUAAUAAUAAUAUUGCACUUAUUGUAAACUACACUGUAUUUAAAUAUGAAGCUUGCAUUGUAACCCUGUGCUGCCCUGUAACACCUGUGUGAGUCGCCUGGGAUAAAGGCGUCUGCCAAAUAAAUUAAUAAAUAAAUACUAAUAAUAUUAAUAGAGAGUUAAACCUCCCUCAGUAAAAACGCCAUUUGACCCCUAAUAAAAGUUUAUUUUUUGAA
Long non-coding RNA from Acipenser ruthenus (sterlet), 2078 nucleotides. RefSeq lists it as uncharacterized. Lineage: Eukaryota; Metazoa; Chordata; Actinopteri; Acipenseriformes; Acipenseridae. The record is from RefSeq and is a predicted model, not a curated record. The transcript is spliced from 2 exons.